UAGGGAAUCUUCGGCAAUGGACGAAAGUCUGACCGAGCAACGCCGCGCGAGUGAAGAAGGUUUUCGGAUCGUAAAACUCUGUUGUUAGAGAAGAACAAGGACGUUAGUAACUGAACGUCCCCUGACGGUAUCUAACCAGAAAGCCACGGCUAACUACGUGCCAGCAGCCGCGGUAAUACGUAGGUGGCAAGCGUUGUCCGGAUUUAUUGGGCGUAAAGCGAGCGCAGGCGGUUUCUUAAGUCUGAUGUGAAAGCCCCCGGCUCAACCGGGGAGGGUCAUUGGAAACUGGGAGACUUGAGUGCAGAAGAGGAGAGUGGAAUUCCAUGUGUAGCGGUGAAAUGCGUAGAUAUAUGGAGGAACGCCAGUGGGGAGGGCGGCUCGCUGGUCUGUAACUGACGCUGAGGCUAGAAAGGGUGGGGAGCAAACAGG
RNAcentral lists this ribosomal RNA (429 nucleotides) under Gemmatimonadota bacterium. RNAcentral's name for it is "Gemmatimonadetes bacterium partial 16S ribosomal RNA". It matches the Rfam family "Bacterial small subunit ribosomal RNA", at positions 355 to 776 of the family's 1533-position model. Lineage: Bacteria; Pseudomonadati; Gemmatimonadota. The record is from RNAcentral.